RNAcentral lists this ribosomal RNA (304 nucleotides) under uncultured bacterium. RNAcentral describes it as "partial 16S ribosomal RNA". It matches the Rfam family "Bacterial small subunit ribosomal RNA", at positions 509 to 807 of the family's 1533-position model. The record is from RNAcentral.
CAGCAGUCGCCGCGGUAAUACGAAGGGGGCUAGCGUUGCUCAGAAUUACUGGGCGUAAAGGGAGCGUAGGCGGAUCGUUUAGUCAGGGGUGAAAUCCCGGGGCUCAACCUCGGAACUGCCUUUGAUACUGGCGAUCUUGAGUACGGGAGAGGUGUGUGGAACUCCGAGUGUAGAGGUGAAAUUCGUAGAUAUUCGGAAGAACACCAGUGGCGAAGGCGACACACUGGCCCAUUACUGACGCUGAGGCUCGAAAGCGUGGGGAGCAAACAGGAUUAGAUACCCCCGUAGUCCCUGUCUCUUAUAC